Molecule: ribosomal RNA, 490 nt
Filed under: uncultured bacterium
Lineage: Bacteria
Description: partial 16S ribosomal RNA
Rfam family: Bacterial small subunit ribosomal RNA
Source: RNAcentral
AUUGAACGCUGGCGGCAGGCCUAACACAUGCAAGUCGAACGGUAACAGGAAGAAGCUUGCUUCUUUGCUGACGAGUGGCGGGCGGGUGAGUAAUGUCUGGGAAACUGCCUGAUGGAGGGGGAUAACUACUGGAAACGGUAGCUAAUACCGCAUAACGUCGCAAGACCAAAGAGGGGGACCUUCGGGCCUCUUGCCAUCGGCUGUGCCCAGAUGGGAUUAGCUAGUAGGUGGGGUAACGGCUCACCUAGGCGACGAUCCGUAGCUGGUCUGAGAGGAUGACCAGCCACACUGGAACUGAGACACGGUCCAGACUCCUACGGGAGGCAGCAGUGGGGAAUAUUGCACAAUGGGCGCAAGCCUGAUGCAGCCAUGCCGCGUGUAUGAAGAAGGCCUUCGGGUUGUAAAGUACUUUCAGCGGGGAGGAAGGGAGUAAAGUUAAUACCUUUGCUCAUUGACGUUACCCACAGAAGAAGCACCGGCUAACUCCGUG